GAUGAACGCUGGCUACAGGCUUAACACAUGCAAGUCGAGGGGAAACGACGGGGAAGCUUGCUUCCCCGGGCGUCGACCGGCGCACGGGUGAGUAACGCGUAUCCAACCUGCCUCUGACUGAGGGAUAACCCGUCGAAAGUCGGCCUAAUACCUCAUGGCAUCGUCUGCGGGCAUCCAACGACGAUUAAAGAUUUCAUCGGUCAGGGAUGGGGAUGCGUCUGAUUAGCUUGUUGGCGGGGUAACGGCCCACCAAGGCUACGAUCAGUAGGGGUUCUGAGAGGAUGGUCCCCCACAUUGGAACUGAGACACGGUCCAAACUCCUACGGGAGGCAGCAGUGAGGAAUAUUGGUCAAUGGGCGGGAGCCUGAACCAGCCAAGUAGCGUGCAGGAUGACGGCCCUAUGGGUUGUAAACUGCUUUUAUGCGGGGAUAAAGUGAGGGACGUGUCCUUCAUUGCAGGUACCGCAUGAAUAAGGACCGGCUAAUUCCGUG
This 491-nucleotide ribosomal RNA is filed under the name uncultured bacterium. Its description in RNAcentral is "partial 16S ribosomal RNA". It matches the Rfam family "Bacterial small subunit ribosomal RNA", at positions 28 to 507 of the family's 1533-position model. The record is from RNAcentral.